Molecule: ribosomal RNA, 253 nt
Filed under: uncultured bacterium
Lineage: Bacteria
Description: partial 16S ribosomal RNA
Rfam family: Bacterial small subunit ribosomal RNA
Source: RNAcentral
AACGUAGGAGACAAACGUUAUCCGGAGUUACUGGGCGUAAAGGGCGUGUAGGCGGUUGGUUAAGUCUGGCGUGAAAGCUCUCGGCUAAACCGGGAGAGGUCGUUGGAUACUGGCCGACUAGAGGACGGUAGAGGCGUGUGGAAUUCCGGGUGUAGUGGUGAAAUGCGUAGAGAUCCGGAGGAACACCAGUGGCGAAGGCGACACGCUGGGCCGUACCUGACGCUAAAGCGCGACAGCAUGGGGAACAAACGGG